This 449-nucleotide ribosomal RNA is filed under the name uncultured bacterium. RNAcentral describes it as "partial 16S ribosomal RNA". It matches the Rfam family "Bacterial small subunit ribosomal RNA", at positions 328 to 794 of the family's 1533-position model. The record is from RNAcentral.
AUUCCAGACUCCUACGGGAGGCAGCAGUGGGGAAUAUUGCACAAUGGGGGAAACCCUGAUGCAGCGACGCCGCGUGAGCGAAGAAGUAUUUCGGUAUGUAAAGCUCUAUCAGCAGGGAAGAAAUUGACGGUACCUGAGUAAGAAGCUCCGGCUAAAUACGUGCCAGCAGCCGCGGUAAUACGUAUGGAGCAAGCGUUAUCCGGAUUUACUGGGUGUAAAGGGAGCGUAGGCGGCCUGCCAAGUCUGAUGUGAAAAACCGGGGCGCAACCCCGGGGCUGCAUUGGAAACUGGCAGGCUGGAGUGUCGGAGAGGCAGGCGGAAUUCCUAGUGUAGCGGUGAAAUGCGUAGAUAUUAGGAGGAACACCAGUGGCGAAGGCGGCCUGCUGGACGAUGACUGACGCUGAGGCUCGAAAGCGUGGGGAGCAAACAGGAUUAGAUACCCCCGUAAC